Molecule: ribosomal RNA, 253 nt
Filed under: uncultured bacterium
Lineage: Bacteria
Description: partial 16S ribosomal RNA
Rfam family: Bacterial small subunit ribosomal RNA
Source: RNAcentral
UACGUAGGGCGCAAGCGUUGUCCGGAAUUAUUGGGCGUAAAGGGCUCGUAGGCGGUUUGUCGCGUCGGGAGUGAAAUCCACUGGCUUAACUGGUGGCUUGCUUUCGAUACGGGCAGACUGGAGGCAUGCAGGGGAGAACGGAAUUCCUGGUGUAGCGGUGAAAUGCGCAGAUAUCAGGAGGAACACCAAUAGCGAAGGCAGCUCGCUGGGACGUUACUGACACUGAGGCGCGAAAGCGUGGGGAGCGAACAGG